GCAAAACAUGCUUGUCUUCUACUUGUUUUUUAUUUAAUGGAUUAAUGAAACAAACGCUUUUCAUUAUCCCAUAAAAUGAUGAAUUUCAUAUUUUUUUGUUAUAAUUCUUUUCAUUAGAAGAGGCGCUUCAAUAUUCAAAUUCAAGUUUUUUUUUCCUUCUUCCAUGGAGCCUCAGCCUCUGGAGAAGAUUGCGUUAAUUCAAAGUUUUGGUAAAAUGGUUGCAUUCAUUAAUUCAUAGUUUU
RNAcentral lists this unclassified non-coding RNA (242 nucleotides) under Hevea brasiliensis (rubber tree). Lineage: Eukaryota; Viridiplantae; Streptophyta; Magnoliopsida; Malpighiales; Euphorbiaceae. The record is from RNAcentral.